RNAcentral lists this ribosomal RNA (549 nucleotides) under Aspergillus amstelodami. RNAcentral's name for it is "eukaryotic LSU rRNA". The stretch from base 180 to 333 matches the Rfam family "5.8S ribosomal RNA". Lineage: Eukaryota; Fungi; Ascomycota; Eurotiomycetes; Eurotiales; Aspergillaceae. The record is from RNAcentral.
AAGGUUUCCGUAGGUGAACCUGCGGAAGGAUCAUUACCGAGUGCGGGCCCUCUGGGUCCAACCUCCCAUCCGUGUCUAUCUGUACCCUGUUGCUUCGGCGUGGCCACGGCCCGCCGGAGACUAACAUUUGAACGCUGUCUGAAGUUUGCAGUCUGAGUUUUUAGUUAAACAAUCGUUAAAACUUUCAACAACGGAUCUCUUGGUUCCGGCAUCGAUGAAGAACGCAGCGAAAUGCGAUAAUUAAUGUGAAUUGCAGAAUUCAGUGAAUCAUCGAGUCUUUGAACGCACAUUGCGCCCCCUGGUAUUCCGGGGGGCAUGCCUGUCCGAGCGUCAUUGCUGCCCUCAAGCACGGCUUGUGUGUUGGGCUUCCGUCCCUGGCAACGGGGACGGGCCCAAAAGGCAGUGGCGGCACCAUGUCUGGUCCUCGAGCGUAUGGGGCUUUGUCACCCGCUCCCGUAGGUCCAGCUGGCAGCUAGCCUCGCAACCAAUCUUUUUAACCAGGUUGACCUCGGAUCAGGUAGGGAUACCCGCUGAACUUAAGCAUAUCAU